GUCCACGCUGUAAACGAUGCGCACUAGAUCGGGGUGGCUCUGACGCCGGCUCGGUCGAAGUAAAAACGCUAAGUGCGCCGCCUGGGGGAGUACGGUCGCAAGGCUAAAACUCAAAGGAAUUGACGGGGGCUCACACAAGCGGUGGAGCAUGUUGCUUAAUUCGAGGCAACGCGAAGAACCUUACCUGGGUUUGACAUGCACGGAUUAACCCCAUGAAAGUGGGGCCACACCCGCAAGGGUGGAACGUGCACAGGUGCUGCAUGGCUGUCGU
Molecule: ribosomal RNA, 271 nt
Filed under: uncultured bacterium
Lineage: Bacteria
Description: partial 16S ribosomal RNA
Rfam family: Bacterial small subunit ribosomal RNA
Source: RNAcentral